AUAGUUUAAAAACCAUAUAGUUCUCCUUUUUGAAAAUCUUCAUCUAGUCCGAUUAAUUUCCGCUUAACCGCUAGACCAACCCUAUUUGUUUCGAUUAAUUUUUUUUUGGUAAGGUGAGGGGGCAAUGCCCCCUACAAAUUUAUGAAAAGAACAAAAAAAUAUUACAAAAGAACUUUACGCGGGUACGCAGACCCUCGAGCAUCGUCAGAUAAACAAGACGACAAACCGUCAGGACAUACAUCAUAAAAAUGCAAACCUAAAGGGAGCGAAAAUGCAUAGUUAGCUAACCCAUCAGCAAGAUGAUUAACUUCUCUAUACACAUGUGUAAUUCAGACUCUCUAGUCCUUCGAAAGAAAGCCAUAACACAAACGUACUAGGAAAGACAAGGGAUGUGUGUUGCUUAUCCCGGUCUUGAGAAAACCCACCACUAUCUCUGAAUCCACCUCUAACUCCAACUGAGGUAUCCGUCUCGCCCACGCAAAAUAUAGGCCAUAAUACAUCCCCCAAAGAUUUGUUUCGAUUAAUGACUAAUCCUAUAAAAAAAAUCUGUU
Molecule: small RNA, 551 nt
Filed under: Arabidopsis thaliana (thale cress)
Lineage: Eukaryota; Viridiplantae; Streptophyta; Magnoliopsida; Brassicales; Brassicaceae
Description: ATSL021630
Source: RNAcentral